UUCAGCUGCCACUGAGACCCUUUUUACAAAAGAAAUCAUUUUCCACUAUAAAGAACUCUGUUCAAAUGGCUCGAUCAGCACUAGAUGAAAUGACAGAGACUGGUGCUUUCAACCGCACGCCAUCAACUUUUCGCAAUUUUAUUUUGAAAGAUAAGAAUUCAAAAUUUCCUGCAGAAGCAGGAAGAUAUCAUCUCUACAUAUCAUAUGCAUGCCCUUGGGCAUCCAGAUGUCUAUCCUUUAUCAAACUCAAGGGCCUUGAUGAGGCAAUCACUUUUACAUCAGUUAAGCCAAAGUGGGAGAGGACCAAAGAGACCGAUGACCAUUUUGGAUGGGUCUUUCCUGUUUCUGAGACAGAAGAAGCCAGAGCUGAUCUCGACCCUCUGAAUGGAGCUAAAAGUGUCAGGGAAUUGUAUGAGCUUGCCAGUUCAAAUUAUUCUGGGAAAUACACUGUUCCUGUUCUAUGGGAUAAAAAAUUGAAGACAAUUGUGAACAAUGAGAGUGCAGAGAUAAUUCGGAUGUUAAACAGCGAAUUUAAUGAAAUAGCGAAGAAUCCUGAUCUGGACUUGUACCCCUCUCACCUGCAAGCAACUAUCGAUGAUGUCAAUGGAUGGGUUUAUGAAGCAAUAAACAAUGGUGUUUACAAGUGUGGUUUUGCUAAGAAACAAGGACCUUAUGAUGAGGCAGUAUCUAAGCUAUAUGAAGCUCUGGACAAAUGCGAGGAAAUACUAGCUAAUCAGAGGUAUAUUUGUGGGAAUGUACUGACUGAAGCUGAUAUCCGUUUGUUUGUAACUCUCAUAAGGUUUGAUGAGAUGCUAAAUUUGAAGUACCUUAGCAAUUUCCUCCGCCAAGGAAGAAAAAAUUUACGAACUUUUGUCUUUCGACUUAACAAUACGUAUGCAUCCUCAAUGAUUCUUGUUUUAGAGCAUAACUGAUGUCUAUGUAUAACUAGCUAUACCAAAACAUGAAGGCAGCAUUUAUCAUCACCGCUUAGUUUUUGAACAAGCUUGCGACUGCAUUCUAGGAAUUCCUCAAUUCUCAGAACCAGUUUUGAGUGCUGUCAUCAGUGUAUUCCCAAGAUCAACUGAAUACUAUCCAAUGAGUUCAGCUCUUUUGGACGUUGCAAACUCUACGCUAAAUGCCAUUAUAUUGAUGAUAAACAUAGUGGAAGCUGGUGGACGUUCUUAUGGUUUAUGCAGUUCAUUUCAAGUGCAACAAGAAGCUAUUGCGUGAAUGUCCAAAUUUGUUCAAUUACACUAAAGACAUAUACCAAAUUCCGGGCAUGAGCAGCACGGUGAACAUGGACCACAUCAAGAAGCACUAUUAUGGAAG
RNA transcript from Asparagus officinalis (garden asparagus), 1329 nucleotides. It is a transcript of the gene named glutathionyl-hydroquinone reductase YqjG-like, with no coding region annotated. NCBI's taxonomy places the organism in Eukaryota, Viridiplantae, Streptophyta, Magnoliopsida, Asparagales, Asparagaceae. The record is from RefSeq and is a predicted model, not a curated record. The transcript has 7 exons.